This is a long non-coding RNA of Macadamia integrifolia, 1194 nucleotides long. RefSeq lists it as uncharacterized. NCBI's taxonomy places the organism in Eukaryota, Viridiplantae, Streptophyta, Magnoliopsida, Proteales, Proteaceae. The record is from RefSeq and is a predicted model, not a curated record. The transcript is spliced from 2 exons.
UAUUAUAACAUUCCACCUAUGUCAUCAAAUUAGACUUACACCCUUUAUCAUCAAUCAUAAUUAAGUAAAAAUAUUAAAAUGAUCGUUACACCCUAUUCAUUACAACUCAUUCUCCUUCAUUCCUACCGCUGAAAAACCGUUAAAAUCAAGAUUAGAAAAUCGGGUCGUAGAUGACCCUCCGAGUCAGAUGACGAUGGGAUUCGACUACUCGGCCUCAUCGGUUUGGUUUUCUGGACUCCUGGAGUCUUGACAAAGAGGAAGCUUACGUUGAAAUUUGGUUUCAAUUUCAAAUUAUUUAUCAAAGGAGUCAGAGAUGACAAUGCGACGUUCGGGUCUCGAAAUGGUAGAGAAGGAUGCGAUUUAAGAUAUGGAAGGAAGGAGGGAAGUGGAUGAAGAAAUCAGUAAGAGGAUGACCUGAAACUCAUGAAUUCCGACCAAUCUGGCCAUGGAGCAUGCCCUAUAGCCAUCUCAAUUACGGUACAUCCAAGGGCCCAAAUGUCGGUAGGUAAACUUUGUUCUUCCCCUCAAGCCAUUUCAGGUGCCAUGAAAACAGGGGCUCCGACAAUCGGAAUCGCCAGAGACUCCUCAUCCUCCUCAUCGAUCCAUCUCGUGCAACCCAAGUCGGCAAUCUUGGCACCAUCUGCUCCAAUCAAAACAUUCCGACCUUUAAUGUCACAAUUUCGACUGUGAUCUCGAAUAGAGUCAGUGAGGGUACUAUUGGAGAUAUACUCCAUGAAGAGAUUGUAGUACAUCAAUCGACCACUCUCAUGUGUUACGCUCCACAUAUUUCACGGCAAAAACCUCACCGGACCGGUGAGUUUUAGGAGAGAGACGGUGGCGGAAGAGCCAUGACCGAUGGUGCGGCCUCUGGUCCAUUCCACAUUCCAUGAUGGAUUGAAGGAAGCUUGGAAUUGGAAUUGGAAUUGGGAGGUACGGAGAAAGGAAGAAACAUGUGGGUUUGGGUAUUUUGGGUAUUUCAUAUCUAAUAAGGACAUUUUGAUAUUUAAAAUAAAAUAUAGUAAUUAACGUCACCAUAUAAAAUAUAUUCUUUAAUUGUGACUUGUGAAUGACGGUAGGAGAUCUAAAUCUAAUUUAGAUAAGAUAUUGUUAUAAUAAUGACAUUCUCCAAGGAGUGGUGCUGUAAAUUAUUCUUUAUAUUUUUUUGGUAAAAUAAGUUCUUACAGUUUAUUUGUA